Long non-coding RNA from Tachyglossus aculeatus (Australian echidna), 1274 nucleotides. RefSeq lists it as uncharacterized. NCBI's taxonomy places the organism in Eukaryota, Metazoa, Chordata, Mammalia, Monotremata, Tachyglossidae. The transcript is spliced from 6 exons. The record is from RefSeq and is a predicted model, not a curated record.
UGACCUCUGACUCCCAAACCCGGGCUCUUUCCACUGAGCCACGCUGCUUCUCCAGAGGAGAGACGGAGAGAGUGGAGCAGCAGCCACGCCGAGCCGCCGUGCGAACAUCUUGACUAGCCAUUCUGGAGCCUCAGCGAGGUCACCCGAGCGGGAGCAGCUGGAGGAGGCCAGACGACCCCCACACCCCCAGGAUCUUGUCGUCAGCCCCUUGAAGUGCCCCCCUAAUUCAGGGUCCUGAGUUGCAGCAAGAUCACCACCCUGUUGGCAGUCCACACCAGAAGAGGAGCCAGGGGCACUGUUCAUAAGGACGUGUUGACCCACCGUUGAAAUAGUCAGCUUCAUGCAGCUGCUGCACGGACAAGCUUCCUAAAGCAUCACUGCUUGGCCUUACCUCCCCUCAAAACGCUCUACUGGCUCUCUCUCUGUGUCUCCCCACAUCAAGCUCUUCACAGUCAGCUUCAAGGCUCUCCACCACCUGGACUCCACCUUACCUAGCUGCUCUCUGACACUGCAAGCAACUCUGCUGUAUUGUACUCUCCCAAGCACUUAGUUCAGUGCUGUGCAUACAACGAGCACUCAAAUAUCACUGACUGAUUGGGCAGGAGACUCACCGUGAGAACUGGACGACAGAGAAGGGUCGAAGGGCCUCAUCCUCACCUGUGGAUGACGUGUCCAGAAGAUUGAUGAGGAGCGUCGCCAGCCCCUCAAAACUUAUUCCCUGUCUGUGACGAGGGAGACCGUAGUCACUCUCGGUGGUGCUGUGGAUCCCCACAAGAGCUUCAGAGACCCCCACACAUCCUUGUUGGCCCUCGUUUCAGGACACUGCAGCUGAGGCGUCUCCCCAGUGUCCCUGUUGUUCUCUGACACGUCCUGUUGGACAUGACUUGUCCAGUUUGGAUCCCUUCGGUCGGGGCCAAAGGAGCUCCAAGGAGCUGUCUGUCCACCGAUCCAUUGACUUGCUUCACGGAGCUCUCUCCCCAACCCGGACCAAAGGCCUAGGCUUGGUCCCACGGAGGGGGCGCACACACUGAGAGCCGACCACAUGGGCUGCAUCCGUGUUGUUGAGGAGCUUCUUCAAGACAUCUUCAUUUCUCCUAGGGUCCGACAUGUGGCCUGUUGGACAAUUCAAGACGUCAGGUUCAUCACUAGCAAAAGUUUGGGAUGUGGCGAAGCCACUAUUGACCCAGGGCUUGACCCUGAGUCAAAAGGCAGAAUUGCAAACAUUCUCCAGAUCUUUCCAUCAGAUGACAGUCAAUAAAGUGCAACUGCUUAAA